This 380-nucleotide ribosomal RNA is filed under the name uncultured eukaryote. Its description in RNAcentral is "partial 18S ribosomal RNA". It matches the Rfam family "Eukaryotic small subunit ribosomal RNA", at positions 592 to 976 of the family's 1831-position model. The record is from RNAcentral.
CAAUAGCGUAUAUUAAAGUUGUUGCAGUUAAAAAGCUCGUAGUUGGAUUUGUGGCGUACGGUGUGUUCCGGGCACUUGUUGUCUGAGUAACCUGCUGUUGCCAUCCUUGGGUGGAACCUGUGUGGCAUUAGGUUGUCGUGCAGGGGAUGCCCAUCAUUUACUGUGAAAAAAUUAGAGUGUUCAAAGCAGGCUUAUGCCGUUGAAUAUAUUAGCAUGGAAUAAUGAGAUAGGACUUUUUUGCUAUUUUGUUGGUUUGCGCAAGAAGGUAAUGAAUAAUAGGGACAGUUGGGGGUAUUCGUAUUCCAUUGUCAGAGGUGAAAUUCUUGGAUUUUUGGAAGACGAACUACUGCGAAAGCAUUUACCAAGGAUGUUUUCAUUAA